UCAAACUCGGAACCACUAAGCUAAAUCUCCAGCCCCAGACUUUUUUUUUUUUUUCUUGAGACAGGGUCUCACUGUUUUGUGAGUGGCUGAGAUUAAAGGCACGGGCCACCACACGCUGGCUCUCUCCCUUUCUAAUUGGUGUAUUUUAAAGUGAAUUCCAACAUCAUAUCUUAUAUUUGAGUAUGUAGCCCUCCGAAAGGCAGGCAGGUCUGACUGAGCAUGUCUUGUGAUCAGACAUGCAAACUAGGCAGUGGGAGAGAAUGUGGACACAGCAAGCAAUGGCUGGCCCUUUCUGAACGGUGGAGUCUUCUUUUUCCUGAGGUUAGGCUGUUAAUGUCAAUGCUUAAGGUAAAAACAGUGUAGAUUUUUGUUAUUGUUUUUAUUUUGUUUUUUUGAGACAGGGUCUCACUAUGUAGUUCAGGCUGGCUUUGAACUCACUGUGGACCCUAGGCUGGCCUCCAACUCACAUCGAGCCUCCUGCCUCAGCCUCCCAAAGUGCUGGGAUUACAGGGAUGUGCCAUCAUGCCUGGCAAAAAUAGUGUAGUUAAAACCUCCCAUAUUUUCAGAUGGCCUCAUAUUGGGUUUUCUUUUUUUGUUUGUUUUGCUUCUGCAGUGCUGGGGAUUGAGCCCUGGGCCUAGUGCAUUCUAAGCAAGCCCUCUGUCACCAAGCUACAUCCCAGCCCAAACACUGGAACAUACUGGGAACUAGGACAUUAUCUUUCUUUAUGUAAACGUAGCCCUCUUCUUCCAUCGUUAAACAGUUCACUGUGGCUUUGGCUAAACACCAGUGUUAGGUUUGUGUUCAGGGAACAUGUUGUAUGAAAAACUCACUCAUCCAGGUAAGAGAUGGGAAUCAAGUGUUGGUACCUAGAAAAUGAUAUCCUAAAACAGGGACCUUGGCAAUUGAGAAAACCACAGAAACAGCAAGAUCUCUCUUUUAUCGGUCUCCAGCCUUUCCAGGUGAAGUGUGGUUAUAAGGGAAUUCUCUGACCUACCUUGCCUGAGCUAGGUCAUGAGAACCUCAUUCAAACCUGGGUGUGAUGGUGAACAACUGUAAUCCCAGCACUCUGGGAGACCUAGGCAGGAAGAUUACAAAUUCAAGCCUAGCUGAGAAAUUUAGUAAUUUAGAGAGACCCUGCUUCAAAAUUUAAAAAUUGGGGGGAGGGGGGCUGGAGAUAUAGCUCAGUGUGAAGGCCCUAGGUUCAAUCCACACUACACCUCCCUUCCAAAUUGAGAGAGGGCCUACCCUAUUUCUAGCCUAGGAAGAAUCUAAACAAACAGGCCUUGCUGGUGACCCCCUUUUUACCCCCAGUUCACCACCUUUAGAUCAUACACUUUGUGUCUAAUCAUACUUCUACAUGUCUGUCUUUGCUUCAGUGAACCUUAGCAUGCAUUUGAACAGUUUGUGUGGCUCCUUAGGUCUUCAUUUCUGAAGCCUCCCGUGUUACAUAAAACAUGAAUACAUUUUGAGGUCCUUUUUCUUGUUAGUCUAUUUUGUUAUGGGGUAUCAGCAUGUUCCAUGCUGAGAAGUACAGAGAAAGAGGUUCAAGACCUGUCUUCCAGUGGCUAACAGGAUCUUGUAGUUUUGAGAAAAGGAAAACAAAGGCAAGGGUUGGGAGUUUACAUAAUUGGGGUUUUGCAUAACUGGCAAUAUAGGCAACCCUGCCCGAGCCUCAUCUGGUGAACUUUUCCUCAGGGCUGGUUCUGCCAGGCUCUGGGAGAGCCAUCAUUGCUUAAGGUGGCCAUUCUGGUCCUAUCUUAAGGGAGCAGCCUUGUUCCCUGAUGGGGUAAUUGCUCUGGCUCCGAGACGGUCUGUACUGCUCAGCUGCUGCAGGUUUGGGACAAUGGCUGGAGACUUCUUGGCAUCACUUCAAAGGGACAUUGUAAAAGCUGGCAACUGGGUGACACUGCAAAUCCUGAAAAUUACAUUGUUACUCUUUUGUUGAUGUCCUUAAUCUUGAAGGGGGAUGAGACAGAUGAGGUAAAUUUAGGGCUAUUAAACCUUGUAUCACUAUUUUUUAGGCAGACACUCCCUGAGUGAAUUUUUUUUUUCCAGUACCAGGGAUUGAACUCAAUUAAGAUCUUGCAUUUUCAAGGCAGGCAAGGUGCCACUGAGCUAAACCCCUAGCCCACUCCCUGAGUGAUUAACAUGCCUGCGUGCAGAGCUGACCCAAAGCUUUAUGUAAUAAAAUGAAGGCAGAAAUGCCCAGCUUCAUCCUGCUUUUAGUGAUCCAGCUUCUAAGACCAUGUUACAUUUUGACUUUUUCCUAUUCCCCCACCUCCACCCACUACCAUCAACACACAUAUACUUGGUUCUUCACCCUGGACAAUAGUGUAAGCUGCUCUAUUCAGCUGUGUGUUGACUUUAGACUCGGUUGUAUCCACGGCGUCUGGCAUAUGGGUGAACUUGAUAAAUAUUUAUUAAAGGAAAUAUAUUCUAAAUGUUUCUGACUUAGUCACUCCCACCUCUUUAAUAAAAUAGGAAUUCUGUGGUUCUUUUAGCUUCUAGCCAUCACCGAGAUCUUUCUAUACAUCCCCAUUAGUGUCUGGCUACACAUAAGCCACUCACCUAUUGCUAGCUAGCCAUUUAUUGAUUGCUUGUACUGGGAACUGAACUCAAGGUGUUAGUACUGAGCUACAUCCCCAACCUUUUUGUUGUUUCAAUUUUGAAUCAGGGUCUCCCAAAAAUGCUAAGUUGCCUAGUAUAUUAGUUACUUUCUUGUUGCUAGGACAAAACACAUGACACCUGCAAUUUAAAGGAGGAGAAGUUUAUUUUGGCUCAAGAUUGUGGUGAUUUCAGUGCACGGUGGGAUAGCUUCGAGGCAGAAAUGGCAUGGAGAAAGGGCAUGGCAGGGGAGAGCUGCUCAACCCAAGGCUGCCAGGCAGCAAAGAGAAAGAAGGGAGGAGCCAGGGACAAAAAUACACCUUUCCAGGUCCACAUCUUUUAAAAAAUAUUUAUUUAUUUAUACCCACUUCUUUUCUUUCUUUUUAUUUAUUUAUUUAUUAUUUUUGGUACCAGGGAUCAAACUCAGGACCUUGAGCUUUUGAGGCAGGCGGCGGAACCACUGAGCUAAAUCCCCAGUAUCUUUUCUUUCUUUCUUUCUUUCUUUUUUUUUGGUACCAGGGAUCAAACUUGGGACCUUGCACUUUCAAGACAGGCGGUGGCACCACUGAGCUAGAUCCCUGGCCCUAGACCCACUUCUGACUAGGCUCACCUCUUAAUAGCCCAUUCUGCUAUUACCAAUGGAUUAAUGCACUGUGGGAAGAAAACAGAAAUCUAUCUAAAGACUGGACCAGAAAGUUUGUACCGGGGAUCGAACUCAGGACCUUGUGCUUGCCAGAUAGUUGCUGCGCCACUGAGCUACAUCCCUGGCCCCCAAGCUCUGUCUUUUCUAUCAAACAAGAGUGCCUCCAUUUUGGACUCUAGUCCACUCUAGGUGGCUCCACCCAAAUGCACCAAGUUUGAGAAAUGCCUGCUCAGUUUAGACUCUGGGAACACAGCUAACAGUCAAGGACUUUCAGUGCCCCAUACCUCAAUGCUCCCCUCCCUUAACAACCCUGCCCAGCAACACUUUGUGCUGCUUAAACUAGCCAAUUGGGAUAGAUUGUGAACCUUCAACCCAACCAAGGGAAAAAGGUCAGCUGCUUCUCCUGUGUUAGGGAUAAAAGGGGCAAACCACCUUUGUCCUGCGUACCUGCUACCUCAUUGCUGGGGUGUGUUUGUGCCCUUUGGCAAAAGUAAAAAACCUUGUUGAGA
This is a non-coding RNA of Heterocephalus glaber (naked mole-rat), 3757 nucleotides long. The record is from RefSeq and is a predicted model, not a curated record. Lineage: Eukaryota; Metazoa; Chordata; Mammalia; Rodentia; Bathyergidae.